RNAcentral lists this ribosomal RNA (698 nucleotides) under Staphylococcus sp. 18L1. RNAcentral's name for it is "bacterial SSU rRNA". It matches the Rfam family "Bacterial small subunit ribosomal RNA", at positions 69 to 753 of the family's 1533-position model. Lineage: Bacteria; Bacillati; Bacillota; Bacilli; Caryophanales; Staphylococcaceae. The record is from RNAcentral.
AGAUAAGGAGCUUGCUCCUUUGACGUUAGCGGCGGACGGGUGAGUAACACGUGGAUAACCUACCUAUAAGACUGGGAUAACUUCGGGAAACCGGAGCUAAUACCGGAUAACAUAUUGAACCGCAUGGUUCAAUAGUGAAAGGCGGCUUUGCUGUCACUUAUAGAUGGAUCCGCGCCGUAUUAGCUAGUUGGUAAGGUAACGGCUUACCAAGGCAACGAUACGUAGCCGACCUGAGAGGGUGAUCGGCCACACUGGAACUGAGACACGGUCCAGACUCCUACGGGAGGCAGCAUUAGGGAAUCUUCCGCAAUGGGCGAAAGCCUGACGGAGCAACGCCGCGUGAGUGAUGAAGGUCUUCGGAUCGUAAAACUCUGUUAUCAGGGAAGAACAAAUGUGUAAGUAACUGUGCACAUCUUGACGGUACCUGAUCAGAAAUCCACGGCUAACUACGUGCCAGCAGCCGCGGUAAUACGGUGGUAAGCGUUAUCCGGAAUUAUUGGGCGUAAAGCGCGCUUAGGCGGUUUUUUAAGUCUGAUGUGAAAGCCUACGGCUCAACCGUGGAGGGUCUUUGUAAACUGAAAACUUGAGUGCAGAAGAGGAAAAGCGGAAUUCCUUGUGUUAGCGUUGAAAAUGCGCAGAGAUAUGGGAGGAACACCAGUGGGAAGGCGACUUUCUGGUCUGUAACUGACGCUGAUGUG